Molecule: ribosomal RNA, 331 nt
Filed under: uncultured eukaryote
Lineage: Eukaryota
Description: partial 18S ribosomal RNA
Rfam family: Eukaryotic small subunit ribosomal RNA
Source: RNAcentral
CCCUUAGAUGUCCUGGGCCGCACGCGCGCUACACUGAGUGUCUGAGAUACGAGUCUGCCUGGUCCGGCAAGGUCUAGGUAAUCGCUAAAAGACACAUCAUGCUUGGGAUAGAUGAUUGCAAUUCUUCAUCUUCAACGAGGAAUGCCUAGUAAACGCAAGUCAUCAGCUUGCAUUGAUUACGUCCCUGCCCUUUGUACACACCGCCCGUCGCUCCUACCGAUUGAAUGAUCCGAUGAAUACCAUGGAUUGAGAGUACGAAUAGGUUCGCUUAUUUCUGCUUCUCGAGAAGUGGAGUAAAUCUUAUCAUUUAGAGGAAGGAGAAGUCGUAACA